This 481-nucleotide long non-coding RNA is filed under the name Gossypium raimondii (Peruvian cotton). RNAcentral's name for it is "long non-coding RNA (GRAI_LNC005391)". The record is from RNAcentral. Lineage: Eukaryota; Viridiplantae; Streptophyta; Magnoliopsida; Malvales; Malvaceae.
GAAAAGGGUGCCCCUUGCCAUUUUGGUGAAAUGGUGGCAGAGGAGGUAGACCUCGGGGUGUGGGGACUUUAAAAGGCAUGCCCGCUGAUGUGGCAAAGCAAAGGAGCGGUGGCGGCUGGAGUUAGAGGUGGCUAAGGUUUCUUGCUUAGGUUUUAGGUUUUGGGCUUUGGGCUUUUAGGGUUUUUAGGUUAGCAGAUUUGGUAUUUAGGGUAAAUUGGGCUUGUAAUUUUGACUUUAUUUAUUUAUUUUUGGUUUUUUUGUUUUUGUUUGGGCCAGACAGAUUUGGGCCAUUAUAGCUACCCCUCUUUGCUCGUUGUCGUGUAACGGAAAGGGAGCAAAGACCUCAAAAGAAAACCAAUUCUGUUUGAUCCCGCUGAAUCUCGACUUCUCUAGUAUUUCUCUUUUUCAAGCAACCAACUCUUUCAGUUCCUUGGUUACUCUACUUUACUGUAUCUGCUUUGCUCUAACUUUAAGAAGGUAU